UAGCGAAGAGGCUAAACGCGGCGGACUGUAAAUCCGCUCCUUCGGGUUCGGGGGUUCGAAUCCCUCUCUCUCCA
RNAcentral lists this transfer RNA (74 nucleotides) under Streptococcus pneumoniae. Its description in RNAcentral is "tRNA-Tyr". It matches the Rfam family "tRNA". Rfam says of the family: Transfer RNA (tRNA) molecules are approximately 80 nucleotides in length. Their secondary structure includes four short double-helical elements and three loops (D, anti-codon, and T loops). Lineage: Bacteria; Bacillati; Bacillota; Bacilli; Lactobacillales; Streptococcaceae. The record is from RNAcentral. RNAcentral also lists the same sequence under 2 other names.